RNAcentral lists this ribosomal RNA (809 nucleotides) under Clostridium sp. NB 21. RNAcentral's name for it is "bacterial SSU rRNA". It matches the Rfam family "Bacterial small subunit ribosomal RNA", at positions 36 to 873 of the family's 1533-position model. RNAcentral also lists the same sequence under 1 other name. Lineage: Bacteria; Bacillati; Bacillota; Clostridia; Eubacteriales; Clostridiaceae. The record is from RNAcentral.
CNUGNGGCGNGCUACCAUGCUNUCGAGCGAUCUCUUCGGAGAGAGCGGCGGACGGGUGAGUAACGCGUGGGUAACCUGCCCUGUACACACGGAUAACAUACCGAAAGGUAUACUAAUACGGGAUAACAUACGAAAGUCGCAUGGCUUUUGUAUCAAAGCUCCGGCGGUACAGGAUGGACCCGCGUCUGAUUAGCUAGUUGGUAAGGUAAUGGCUUACCAAGGCAACGAUCAGUAGCCGACCUGAGAGGGUGAUCGGCCACACUGGAACUGAGACACGGUCCAGACUCCUACGGGAGGCAGCAGUGGGGAAUAUUGCACAAUGGGCGAAAGCCUGAUGCAGCAACGCCGCGUGAGCGAUGAAGGCCUUCGGGUCGUAAAGCUCUGUCCUCAAGGAAGAUAAUGACGGUACUUGAGGAGGAAGCCCCGGCUAACUACGUGCCAGCAGCCGCGGUAAUACGUAGGGGGCUAGCGUUAUCCGGAAUUACUGGGCGUAAAGGGUGCGUAGGUGGUUUUUUAAGUCAGAAGUGAAAGGCUACGGCUCAACCGUAGUAAGCUUUUGAAACUAGAGAACUUGAGUGCAGGAGAGGAGAGUAGAAUUCCUAGUGUAGCGGUGAAAUGCGUAGAUAUUAGGAGGAAUACCAGUAGCGAAGGCGGCUCUCUGGACUGUAACUGACACUGAGGCACGAAAGCGUGGGGAGCAAACAGGAUUAGAUACCCUGGUAGUCCACGCCGUAAACGAUGAGUACUAGGUGUCGGGGGUUACCCCCCUCGGUGCCGCAGCUAACACAUAAGACUCCGCCUGAAGCCCC